AUUGAACGCUGGCGGCAUGCCUUACACAUGCAAGUCGAACGGCAGCGCGGGCUUCGGCCUGGCGGCGAGUGGCGAACGGGUGAGUAAUGCAUCGGAACGUGCCCAGUAGUGGGGGAUAGCCCGGCGAAAGCCGGAUUAAUACCGCAUACGACCUGAGGGUGAAAGCGGGGGACCGAAAGGCCUCGCGCUAUUGGAGCGGCCGAUGUCGGUUUAGCUAGUAGGUGGGGUAGAGGCUUACCAAGGCUAGGAGCCUUAGCUGGUCUGAGGGGACGACCCGCCAGCUUGGGAGUGAGAAAGGGCCCAGACUCCGAGGGGAGGAAGCAGUCGGGAAUCUUAGACGAGGGGGGCGAGGGGGAUCCAGGCAUGCCGCGGGAGGGAAGAAGGAGUUCGGGUGGGAAAGUGAUGAUGUUCGGGGAGUAGUCCUGUUGGCUAAUACCCCAGGAGGAUGACAGUACCGGAAGAAUAAGCACCGGCUAACUACGUG
Molecule: ribosomal RNA, 484 nt
Filed under: uncultured bacterium
Lineage: Bacteria
Description: partial 16S ribosomal RNA
Rfam family: Bacterial small subunit ribosomal RNA
Source: RNAcentral